UGGGGAAUAUUGCGCAAUGGGGGAAACCCUGACGCAGCGACGCCGCGUGCGGGAUGAAGGCCUUCGGGUUGUAAACCGCUUUUGAUUGGGAGCAAGCUUUCGGGUGAGUGUACCUUUCGAAUAAGCGCCGGCUAACUACGUGCCAGCAGCCGCGGUAAUACGUAGGGCGCAAGCGUUAUCCGGAAUUAUUGGGCGUAAAGAGCUUGUAGGCGGUUCGUCGCGUCUGGUGUGAAAGCCCGUCGCUUAACGGUGGGUUUGCGCCGGGUACGGGCGGGCUAGAGUGCAGUAGGGGAGACUGGAAUUCCCGGUGUAACGGUGGAAUGUGUAGAUAUCGGGAAGAACACCAAUGGCGAAGGCAGGUCUCUGGGCUGUUACUGACGCUGAGAAGCGAAAGCGUGGGGAGCGAACAGG
RNAcentral lists this ribosomal RNA (411 nucleotides) under Verrucomicrobiota bacterium. RNAcentral's name for it is "Verrucomicrobia bacterium partial 16S ribosomal RNA". It matches the Rfam family "Bacterial small subunit ribosomal RNA", at positions 355 to 776 of the family's 1533-position model. Lineage: Bacteria; Pseudomonadati; Verrucomicrobiota. The record is from RNAcentral.